RNAcentral lists this long non-coding RNA (546 nucleotides) under Homo sapiens (human). RNAcentral's name for it is "non-protein coding lnc-CNPY2-4:5". Lineage: Eukaryota; Metazoa; Chordata; Mammalia; Primates; Hominidae. The record is from RNAcentral.
UGGUGCAGCGGCGGCGGCUCCUGUUCCUGCCGCAGCUCUCUCCCUUUCUUACCUCCCCACCAGAUCCCGGAGAUCGCCCGCCAUGGCUUUACUUACUGCGGCCGCCCGGCUCUUGGGAACCAAGGCACCCAGUGGCAAGUACUAGCUGAGCAUUUGGGAGAUGCUUGUCUUACUUGGCUGUUGCUUCUCCUGCUGCUGGGGAAAAGGCCCGGCAUGCCAGUGCUUCCUCCACGGUAAGGUUUGGAAAAGAAGACUAAGAAUAAGAAUCAUUGCGGCCAGCCUGACCUUGGGGCAGAGGAUUUGGCAACCACCUGGCCUCUUAUUAUCCUGAGUAUUUCCUGGAAGUGUUUGUUACUAUUGUUAUUGUUAUAGCUGCUAUUAUUAUUAUAUUACUAUUUAACAAAUAAUUUACUCAGUGGUAUAGUGAGAUGGGAAUAUCAAUACAUUUGCCUAAUUCUUUUAAAUGUUUUAAGUAGUGUAAAAUAUACAUAACAUAAAAUUUACCAUUUUAAUCAUUUUUAAGUAUAUGGUUUAGUGGCAGUAGAU